GAUGAACGCUGGCGGCGUGCCUAAUACAUGCAAGUCGAACGCUGGAAAUCUAGCUUGCUAGAUUGAAGGAGUGGCGAACGGGUGAGUAAUACAUAAGCAACCUACCCACGAAGACUGGGAUAAUCUCUGGAAACGGGGACUAAUACCGGAUAGGUAAUCGGAAGGCAUCUUCUGAUUAUUAAAGGUUAAAAACACUGGUGGAUGGGCUUAUGGCGCAUUAGUUAGUUGGUGAGGUAACGGCCCACCAAGACGAUGAUGCGUAGCCGGCCUGAGAGGGUGAACGGCCACAUUGGGACUGAGACACGGCCCAGACUCCUACGGGAGGCAGCAGUAGGGAAUUUUCGGCAAUGGGGAAACCCUGACCGAGCAACGCCGCGUGAGUGAUGACGGCCUUCGGGUUGUAAAGCUCUGUUGUAAGGGAAGAACGGUAGAUAGAGAAUAUCUAAAUGACGGUACCUUACCAGAAAGCCACGGCUAACUACGUG
Molecule: ribosomal RNA, 485 nt
Filed under: uncultured bacterium
Lineage: Bacteria
Description: partial 16S ribosomal RNA
Rfam family: Bacterial small subunit ribosomal RNA
Source: RNAcentral